CCUACGGGUGGCUGCAGUGGGGAAUAUUGGACAAUGGGGGGAACCCUGAUCCAGCCAUGCCGCGUGUGUGAAGAAGGCCCUCGGGUUGUAAAGCACUUUCAGUGAGGAAGAACGCCUGGUGGUUAAUACCCAUCAGGAAAGACAUCACUCACAGAAGAAGCACCGGCUAACUCCGUGCCAGCAGCCGCGGUAAUACGGAGGGUGCGAGCGUUAAUCGGAAUUACUGGGCGUAAAGCGCGCGUAGGUGGCUUGAUAAGCCGGUUGUGAAAGCCCCGGGCUCAACCUGGGAACGGCAUCCGGAACUGUCAAGCUAGAGUGCAUGAGAGGAAGGUAGAAUUCCCGGUGUAGCGGUGAAAUGCGUAGAGAUCGGGAGGAAUACCAGUGGCGAAGGCGGCCUUCUGGACUGACACUGACACUGAGGUGCGAAAGCGUGGGUAGCAAACAGGAUUAGAUACCCUUGUAGUC
This 465-nucleotide ribosomal RNA is filed under the name Vreelandella stevensii. RNAcentral describes it as "partial 16S ribosomal RNA". It matches the Rfam family "Bacterial small subunit ribosomal RNA", at positions 338 to 795 of the family's 1533-position model. The record is from RNAcentral. Lineage: Bacteria; Pseudomonadati; Pseudomonadota; Gammaproteobacteria; Oceanospirillales; Halomonadaceae.